GCUGAUUUUUCAGUGCAGUAAUGCAACUGAUCAUGGAGAAGCUGUCAGGAGCCCCAGGGAGAGUUCCCAUUUCUUUGUGAAAGGCAGGGCACCCUGGAAUGGGUUCGCCCCGAGAGAGGGGCCCAAGCCUUGGAAAGUGUCGUGGUUCUGGCAGUGUCCAAUGAGCCCUCGCUGGUCCUUAAAAACCGGGGGAGAAGGUGUAAAUCUCGC
Molecule: non-coding RNA, 210 nt
Filed under: Alligator mississippiensis (American alligator)
Lineage: Eukaryota; Metazoa; Chordata; Crocodylia; Alligatoridae
Description: Eukaryotic large subunit ribosomal RNA
Rfam family: Eukaryotic large subunit ribosomal RNA
Source: Rfam by way of RNAcentral